AUGAUGAGCAACCCUAUGAUUAGGAAGUGUGUGAUCUUCAGAAUAGAAAAAAGUUAUGAGAAAUCUGUGUGUGACAUUAUAUAUACACACCUCUACCCCUAUAUAACACGACCUGAUAUAACACGAAUUUGGAUACAAUGGGGUAAAGCGGCACUGGGGGGGGGGGCUGCGCACUCCGGCAGAUCAAAGCAAGUUCGAUAUAACAUGGUUUCACCUAUAACGUGGUAAGAUUUCUUGGCUCCUAAGGACAGUGGGACCUUCAAUUCCAUCGAAGACACCCGGAAUGAGUGAAGGGCCCGCCCCUGAAGACCCAGAGCGCUGCCGGAAAUUCAGUAUUUCAGAGGCUGGAAGGUUCCUCUUCAGUGUAAACACCUGCAUGGAGUACAUAGCAGAAGAAUCACUGACAUCUAUGCCAAAAAUCACACAGGCAGUGCCGUGUGAAAAUAAAAAAGCUUCAGCAAGCAUAUCAGAAGACCAAGGAGGCAAACAGUCAAUCUGGUUCUGCCCCAGAGAAAUGCUGCUUUUAUGAGGCACUGCAUGCGAUUCUCAGCAGCAACCACAACUACCCCAAAACGCUCCGUGAAUACCUCACAGAAGCCCCAGGCAACCUCGAGCAACAACGAAGAGGACAUUGUUGAUGAAGCAGAGGAGGAGAAUACAAGGCAGGCAAGCGGAGGAUCCAUUCUCCCCGACAGCCAAGAAUAGUUUUUAACCCUGGAGCCCAUCCCUUAACAGGAGCAAUUGCUGGCAGUGCGUGAUGCCAAGGAAGGCACCUCUGCAGAAACCUUGUCCAUCAAUGCAUCCUCCACACUGGGAUAAUGACUUUCCCAGAUUAGAAGGCGGAAAAAGACGACUCGGGAGGACAUGUUCAGUGAGUUAAUAUGUGCCUCCGAGAGUGACAAGAUGGAGCUCAGAGCAUAGAGGAUUACACUGUCCAACAAUCUGCACGUGGACAGGAGAGCAUGCAGGGAACACGAGCGUGACAUGCAGGACGAGAUGGUGUGGAUUAUGAGGGAGCAAUCAGACAUGUUGAGGCAUCUGGCUGAGGUUCAAGAAAGGCAGCUGGAUCCUAGAGUCCCUCUGCAGCCUAUGUUGAACCUGCUGCCAUCCUUGCCAAGUUCCACAUCCUUCUCCCCCAAACGCCCUAUGAGGUGCUGGGGGGGGCGAGGGGAGGUUUCAGUAUCCCUUGCACUCAACAGCAGGGGAGGGUAGAAGGAUCAGAAGGCGCCCAUUCCCACUCCUUGGAUUGUUACUGCAGUGCAAAUGUAAGCAAUCUGUCCUUGUUUCCCCCCCACACACACCAGUGUUAUCAGCUCUUUUGCCCCAGGUUAUCUUACUUUUCUUUGCUAUGUGAGUUUUUGUGCAUAAUAAAAUUUAAGGGAUUGAGGAGAAAAGGCUCUUUAAUUCAUUCAGCACACUGUAGUUAGUGGGGGUGGAGUUUACAGGGAAGAAAAUGCAAUGAAGGAGACAGCUUGGUAAGGAACAACACAGAUGAUUCACAGUAAUACGACACUUAUUUCUGAAACUGGCUUUCAAAGACUCACGGAGACACAAAGCCCCUCAAUGUGCUUUUUUUAUUGCCCUGGUGUCUGGCUGCUCAAAACUGGCUGCCAAGUGAUCUUCCUCCACCCCACACCCAGCUGGAAACUUUUCUUCUUUUGUUUCAUAGACACUAUGAAGCACAGAGCAGGCAGCAAUAACAGUGGGGAUACUGCUUUCACUGAGGUCUAAUCUAGUAAGCAAACAAUACCAGCGCCC
Gopherus flavomarginatus (Mexican gopher tortoise) is the source of this 1758-nucleotide long non-coding RNA. RefSeq lists it as uncharacterized. The record is from RefSeq and is a predicted model, not a curated record. The transcript has 3 exons. Lineage: Eukaryota; Metazoa; Chordata; Testudines; Testudinidae.